Molecule: ribosomal RNA, 458 nt
Filed under: uncultured bacterium
Lineage: Bacteria
Description: partial 16S ribosomal RNA
Rfam family: Bacterial small subunit ribosomal RNA
Source: RNAcentral
CCUACGGGCGGCAGCAGUGAGGAAUAUUGGUCAAUGGGCGAGAGCCUGAACCAGCCAAGUCGCGUGAGGGAGUACUGCCCUAUGGGUUGUAAACCACUUUUGUCGGGGAGCAAAAGCCGGACGUGUCCGGCUGUGAGAGUACCCGAAGAAAAAGCAUCGGCUAACUCCGUGCCAGCAGCCGCGGUAAUACGGAGGAUGCGAGCGUUAUCCGGUGUUAUUGGGUUUAAAGGGUGCGCAGGCGGAUUUUUAAGUCAGCGGUAAAAUCGUGGGGCUCAACCCCAUCCAGCCGUUGAAACUGGGGAUCUAGAGUGUGCGAGAGGUAUGCGGAAUGCGUGGUGUAGCGGUGAAAUGCAUAGAUAUCACGCAGAACCCCGAUUGCGAAGGCAGCAUACCGGUGCACAACUGACGCUCAGGCACGAAAGCGUGGGUAUCGAACAGGAUUAGAUACCCCUGUAGUC